RNAcentral lists this long non-coding RNA (210 nucleotides) under Trifolium pratense (red clover). Its description in RNAcentral is "long non-coding RNA (TPRA_LNC004045)". The record is from RNAcentral. Lineage: Eukaryota; Viridiplantae; Streptophyta; Magnoliopsida; Fabales; Fabaceae.
UCUGGGGGAUACCAAUCCAGGAAUGAAGUCCACUAUCAGCAGUAUUACUUCGAAGCUAAACUCACCCGUUUACAACUUCUCACUUAAUCACUACCCAAUGACACUUCUACCUAGGAACUCCUAGAUAUGAGACCCCGUCCCAAUUCCCACCUUAACAACACAGACAGCGUUGUUAUUCAAUUCAACAAUCACAACAGGUGGAGACACACU